Molecule: ribosomal RNA, 253 nt
Filed under: uncultured bacterium
Lineage: Bacteria
Description: partial 16S ribosomal RNA
Rfam family: Bacterial small subunit ribosomal RNA
Source: RNAcentral
UACGAAGGGGGCUAGCGUUGCUCGGAAUUACUGGGCGUAAAGCGUGCGCAGGCGGUUUUGUAAGCCAGAUGUGAAAUCCCCGGGCUUAACCUGGGAAUGGCAUUUGGGACUGCAAGGCUGGAGUUUGGCAGAGGAGACUGGAAUUCCCGGUGUAGCGGUGAAAUGCGCAGAUAUCGGGAGGAACACCGGUGGCGAAGGCGGUUCUCUGGGCCUGUACUGACGCUGAGGAGCGAAAGCGUGGGGAGCGAACAGG